AUCUCGGAGAAACGCGAGCCGCCGUACGAUGUCGGACGGAACGGUUGCGGUGGGAAACAGGCCGCGAGAGAUGACCAGGCGGCGGUGUUCGUCCU
This 95-nucleotide small RNA is filed under the name Sinorhizobium meliloti 2011. RNAcentral describes it as "putative ncRNA". The record is from RNAcentral. Lineage: Bacteria; Pseudomonadati; Pseudomonadota; Alphaproteobacteria; Hyphomicrobiales; Rhizobiaceae.